GUAGUAUUCCCUCCGUCCCAAAAUUCUUGUCUUUUGUUUAGAUACGGAUGUAUCUAACACUAAAAUGUAACUAGAUACAUCCGUAUUUAGACAAAUUUAAGACAAGAAUUUUGGGAUGGAGGGAGUACAAA
Molecule: non-coding RNA, 131 nt
Organism: Triticum aestivum (bread wheat)
Lineage: Eukaryota; Viridiplantae; Streptophyta; Magnoliopsida; Poales; Poaceae
Source: Rfam